RNAcentral lists this ribosomal RNA (440 nucleotides) under uncultured bacterium. RNAcentral's name for it is "partial 16S ribosomal RNA". It matches the Rfam family "Bacterial small subunit ribosomal RNA", at positions 338 to 795 of the family's 1533-position model. The record is from RNAcentral.
CCUACGGGUGGCAGCAGUGGGGGAUAUUGCACAAUAGGGGGAACCCUGAUGCAGCGACGCCGCGUGGGUGAAGAAGCGCCUCGGCGCGUAAAGCCCUGUCAGCAGGGAAGAAAAUGACGGUACCUGAAGAAGAAGCCCCGGCUAACUACGUGCCAGCAGCCGCGGUAAGACGGAGGGGGCAAGCGUUAUCCGGAUUUACUGGGUGUAACGGGGGCGCAGACGGCGAUGCAAGCCAGGAGUGAAAGCCCGGGGCCCAACCCCGGGACUGCUCUUGGAACUGCGUGGCGGGAGUGCAGGAGGGGCAGGCGGAAGUCCUAGUGUAGCGGUGAAAUGCGUAGAUAUUAGGAGGAACACCGGUGGCGAAGGCGGCCUGCUGGACUGUGACUGACGUUGAGGCCCGAAGGCGUGGGGAGCAAACAGGAUUAGAUACCCCUGUAGUC